Molecule: ribosomal RNA, 252 nt
Filed under: uncultured bacterium
Lineage: Bacteria
Description: partial 16S ribosomal RNA
Rfam family: Bacterial small subunit ribosomal RNA
Source: RNAcentral
UACGUAGGGUGCAGGCGUAAUCGGAUUUACUGGGCGUAAAGCGUGCGUAGGCGGUUCAUUAAGUCGGUUGUGAAAUCCCUGGGCUUAACCUGGGAACUGCAGUCGAUACUGGUGGACUAGAGUGCGGUAGAGGGUGGCGGAACUCCGGGUGUAGCGGUGAAAUGCGUAGAUAUCCGGAAGAACACCGAUGGCGAAGGCAACCACCUGGGCCUGCACUGACGCUGAGGUACGAAAGCGUGGGGAGCAAACAGG